CGCCAAACCCUGUGAUCAAAGGCGCGCGGGUCUCCAGGCUCCGUGUUCUGGGCCCGAGUUAGAAUCCUGUCAGCUGAGGAGGUCGGGCGGGGCAGACGGGCUUCACCUUGAAAAUCUCGGGGAGACUGUGGGUACGAGGGGGAAGUGAUUAUUUUUCUGUUGCUCACUUUUCAAUAUGAAGGAGGAUCAAGUUGUGGCGGAAGAACCAGGAUUCCAAGAUGAAGAGGAAUCUUUGUUUCAAGAUAUUGACCUGUUACAGAAACAUGGAAUUAACGUGGCUGACAUUAAGAAACUGAAAUCAGUAGGAAUCUGUACCAUCAAAGGUAUACAGAUGACAACAAGAAGAGCUCUAUGCAAUGUCAAAGGACUCUCAGAAGCCAAAGUAGACAAGAUUAAAGAGGCAGCGAACAAACUAAUUGAACCAGGAUUCUUGACUGCAUUUGAGUAUAGUGAAAAGAGGAAAAUGGUUUUCCAUAUCACCACCGGGAGCCAGGAAUUUGAUAAGUUGCUAGGAGGUGGAAUUGAAAGUAUGGCAAUUACAGAAGCUUUUGGAGAAUUUCGUACUGGAAAAACCCAGCUCUCUCAUACUCUCUGUGUGACAGCUCAACUUCCAGGAGCUGGUGGCUACCCAGGAGGAAAGAUUAUCUUCAUUGAUACAGAAAAUACUUUGUAACCUUUUUAUUUAAAGUUGCUAACAUAAUAGUGUGAUAUAGGAAUGUUACCACUAAAGAGUUUGUCUGAGAUAUACAAUCUUUGUAGUCAUUCCAUAAACCAGUAGUAAUGAGACAAACCAAAGGGAAAACAAUUACUGGUCAAGUUCUCAAAUCACUUUUUAUUUAAUGAGGUUUCACUUCUUCAUAUGGGUUUAUGAGACAAAACAAAUACAUGAGAGGAAAUUAUAUCAUCUUCAUUUUUAAUCCUCUUACUUCUCUAAAGAUUUUGCUUAAUAGUUAGAAAAAGUAUUUUUUUUUUGAGACGGAAUCACCCUGUUGCCCAGGCUGGAGUCCAGUGGGGCGAUCUCGGCUCACUGCAACCUCCAUCUCUUGGGUUCAAGCAAUUCUGCCUCAGCCUACCGAGUAGCUGGGAUUACGGG
This 1093-nucleotide small RNA is filed under the name Pongo abelii (Sumatran orangutan). RNAcentral describes it as "retained intron". Lineage: Eukaryota; Metazoa; Chordata; Mammalia; Primates; Hominidae. The record is from RNAcentral.